GCAUUAAUGGGGUAAUGGCAACCCAGGUCAUUGCCAUUGUAUGUGCUUCAUCAAAUGAGCUUGACCUGAUGGGGGUUCAAUUCCCUCUUAAUGCA
Molecule: transfer RNA, 95 nt
Filed under: Laccaria bicolor S238N-H82
Lineage: Eukaryota; Fungi; Basidiomycota; Agaricomycetes; Agaricales; Hydnangiaceae
Rfam family: tRNA
About the family: Transfer RNA (tRNA) molecules are approximately 80 nucleotides in length. Their secondary structure includes four short double-helical elements and three loops (D, anti-codon, and T loops).
Source: Rfam by way of RNAcentral